AAAAAAAAUCUGAAACCCUCUUUCCCUUUAUCUUCCCCGAAGCUCUUCCCUCUUUCCCUCUAUCUUCCUUCUUUUCCCUCUCUCUUCCCCGAGCUCUAUCUUCCCUCUUUCCCUCUAUCUUCCUUUUUUUCCCCUUCUUUUCCUUCUAUCUUCCCCGAAGCUCUCUUCUCCGAAGCCCUCUUUCUCUCUCUCUCACUGCUGUGUUGCCUCUGCCAGGCCCGAACGACCAUCAUCCCAUCGUCGGAGCAGUACGCGCGCCAGCCCAAUCGAACCGUCGGCCCUCGAAACGUCGACCCCCUUGAGCUCACCACUAUACGCGUUGCCCAGGGCUGUCGACCAACGGUCCGAAGCCGUCUGCCUCUUGUAUUGCUAUAUGUUUGUUGGCUCUUAUAUUUCCAUUUUUAGUUUGAUUAACUUCCAAUCUACAGAGAGAUGUUUUUGCUCGUACAACUAAGAAGAGGUGUUGGUUUCUUUCUUCUGACAACAUAAAGUCUUUAGUUUGUAUGGAUUUUAGGUAAGUGAAAAUAAAAGCUUUGAUAACUUCUUUUUGCCACUUUGAAUGCUUUGUUUAUGAUUUUCUUAUAACUCUGGGCUCAACAAAUUAAUCAGUCAUCAAAUAUAUAUAUAUGUAUUUGUAGUACGUAAAGAAAUAGUAUAUAUAUAUAUAUCAUGAACUUUGGGUAAUGUAGAGUAUUUGAUUUUUGUGUAUGUACAUAUACAAUAAUUUUCCUUGGAAAAAUGCACAGAGCAAGACCUAUAGAGAAGAGUAUGUUUUGAAUUAUUUUUGGUGAAGAGUAUGUUGGGUCAUUUCCUUACCAAAUUUUCUACACUUGAUUUUCUUCUGGAAAUUUUCCAACAAUUCUAGGCACCACCUGCUACCAGUCUAGAGUUUCAUUAUUGUACCAAGCUAAAGCCCUACAUAGUUGAUUUGGCUUGUUUUGUAUAGAUGUCCAAGAAGAGCAAUAGGUGAGCAAGAAGCGAGGAACAGGUGAGUGAAAAAUUGAUUGACUUUGAAGCUUUUCCUUUGGUGUUGAGUUAUGAAAUAAACUACUGCAUCUUUAAACUAAAAGAUUAACAAGAUGACUAAAGAUAUCUCAGUGAAAAAAGAGUUAAACUAUGUAUGAUGGCUAUAUAUUAUGUAUGUAAGUGCAAUGGGGUAGUUCAUAUGGAGGUGUGUGUGAAUAGUGGAUUGGUUGGAAUAUAUGAUGGUGUGGUGAGGUUAUGCAAGUUAGGCGUGUGUGUGUUAGAGGUGUUGUGGGAUUAUGCAGGUUGGAUUAAUAUAUUGGAAAGGGUAGAACAAUUAGUGGUAUAUGAACAAAAGUGUGAAAAGAAAAAUUGGCAAAGACAAGGGCUAUUUAAUUGCUAGUGGAAGAAAAAGUGAAACAUGACAAGACAAGAACUAUUUGACAAUUUAACCCAAUUCCUAGUAUUAUUAGUCAAUGCUCAUUAUUUGUUUAUGUUCUAGUCAAUACAUAAAUUAUAUUGCAUUUAUCUUAUAAGAAUAUUGCUUUUAUUAUAAUAUUUUUUUGUACAUUUGCUUGCUUACAUUAUAUGAGCAUUGCUUUUAUUAUAUUAUUCAUAUAGUUGAUCCAUUAUUAUGCUAAUAGUAAACAAAACUAUAAGAUAACAUGAACAUAACAUGUGAUUAUUGUAGGCAUUUACUUUUACGUGCUAGGUGUAGACUUUAGGCCUUUAUUAGUUUCUUUUCUAGUCAUCAUAUUGCUUUUAUCUUAUAUGAUCAUCACUUUUAUUAUAAUAAUUGUUUUGUACCUACUUGAUUGCUUGCUUUUAUUAGAAAAAUAUGAAGAGUUGCUUUUUUUUUUAUUGAUGGGAAACUUGUGAAGACCCUCAAAAUCAAGAAUUGUCAUAGAAAUUAUUGAUGCUAAAACAGAUACUAGUAAAAGAUAAGAACUAAUGCCAAAUUCCAUAAAGAGUGAUGUAGAAUGGAGAGGUUUGGUUAAACAAAAUUAUAUCAAAGAACAUAUGAUACAUUUAUAACUAGUUGAUUUAAUGUUUAUAUAUGUAACUAGUUUAUAUAAAAUUAGUUGCCACUAAUAAGUUUUGUAGUCAUUUUUUUUGAGAUGGUACUCCAUCAACAAGUGGAGGACGGUCCAAUAUUCUUCAUCUUUCAAAGCUUGCUAUUGAUUAAAAGAGGUCUAUAUUGAGAUGCAUUUCUUUGGCGCAAUACUAGACAACAUUGACAGUUGAAGUUUUUAGAAUAAAAAAUAUAUUUCCCUAACAUUGUAUACAUUUCUUGUUUAAUAUUUGGUGAUGAUAAAAUUUGAUUGUAGUAUAAACUAUCAUGUAAUAUGAUUUUGUAAGUCGAGUAGACUAAAUACUGAAAUGAUAUUUUUGAGUAAUUAAUAAAAAAAUUAUUUUGUUGUA
Molecule: long non-coding RNA, 2385 nt
Organism: Humulus lupulus (European hop)
Lineage: Eukaryota; Viridiplantae; Streptophyta; Magnoliopsida; Rosales; Cannabaceae
Exons: 2
Source: RefSeq, a predicted model, not a curated record